GAGUUUGAUCUUGGCUCAGAUUGAACGCUGGCGGCAUGCCUUACACAUGCAAGUCGAACGGCAGCACGGGAGCUUGCUCCUGGUGGCGAGUGGCGAACGGGUGAGUAAUGCAUCGGAACGUAUCCUGGAGUGGGGGAUAACGUAGCGAAAGUUACGCUAAUACCGCAUAUUCUGUGAGCAGGAAAGCGGGGGACCUUCGGGCCCCGCGCUCUUGGAGCGGCCGAUGUCGGAUUAGCUAGUUGGUGAGGUAAAGGCUCACCAAGGCGACGAUCCGUAGCAGGUCUGAGAGGAUGAUCUGCCACACUGGAACUGAGACACGGUCCAGACUCCUACGGGAGGCAGCAGUGGGGAAUUUUGGACAAUGGGGGCAACCCUGAUCCAGCCAUGCCGCGUGAGUGAAGAAGGCCU
RNAcentral lists this ribosomal RNA (408 nucleotides) under bacterium enrichment culture clone ALO1_GLFRUDD03F7R83. RNAcentral describes it as "bacterial SSU rRNA". It matches the Rfam family "Bacterial small subunit ribosomal RNA", at positions 9 to 417 of the family's 1533-position model. The record is from RNAcentral.